CAAUAGCGUAUAUUGAAGUUGUUGCGGUUAAAAAGCUCGUCGUUGGAUUUCUGUUGAGGUCGAACAGUGCCGCCCUAUGGGUGCGCAACUGGCUCGGCUUCGGCAUCUUCUUGGAGAGCGCAUCUGCACUUAACUGUGUGGAUCGUACUUCAAGUCAGUUACUUUGAGGAAUUGGGAGUGUUUCAAGCAGGCUUACGCCGUUGAAUCCGUUAGCAUGGAAUAAUAGGAUAGGACCUCGGUUCUAUUUUGUUGGUUUUGAGAGCUGGGGCAGCGAUUGAUAGGGACGGAUGGGGGCGUCCGAACUUUACUGUCAGAGGUGAAAUUCUUAGAUCGGUCAAAGGCGAACUACUGCGAACGCAUUCGCCAAGAAUGUUUUCUUUAA
This 382-nucleotide ribosomal RNA is filed under the name uncultured eukaryote. RNAcentral describes it as "partial 18S ribosomal RNA". It matches the Rfam family "Eukaryotic small subunit ribosomal RNA", at positions 592 to 976 of the family's 1831-position model. The record is from RNAcentral.